GUGCUGCCGCGGUGAUCCUCUACUUCGUGCCAAAUCAGAAGAGGGUCAAGUAAAGAAGAAGUCGAGCUCCUCCAUCUUCCAAACUCGUUUGAGGGCUUCUCUUUACUCUAUUUGUUUAUAUUGUUAUAUUUGCUUGUUUAAGAAGCUUUGAUUUGUUUUUAUUCUUUGUUAUAAUAUCUUGUAACUUGAUUCAAUCAAGGGAUUGAAUCAAGGGGUUAAAGGUUUGUUGGUGAGCCAAAGGGAAAACCAACGGUGUAAGGUUUGUUGGUGAGCCAAAGGGAAAACCAACGGAGUUUAGGUUUGUUGGUGAGCCGAGGGUAAAACCAACGUGUAAGGGUUUGAUUGUGAGCCCGGGAAAACAAUCAGGGUUGGUUCUAGUCGGUGAGCCUGGGAAAACCGACCGAGUUCGUUGUGCGCUCGUAAAACAACAAGUUGGGUUGUGAGCUUGUAAAACAACCGGCUGUAAUCUGUAGGAUUAUAGUGAAAUUCUCAAGAAGUCUUGGGGAGUGGAUGUAGGUGCUGGGGUGCACCGAACCACUAUAUGUUUGUUGUGUUUGUAAUGCUACUGCUUAUUGUCUAACUAACACACUCACUUACUUAGAUAAACUGCUUGCUUAACUCUUAUCUGGACAUCCUUUAGUUGCAAGCAUAUUUAAUCAAGUCACAUUCUAUACAUCAAACUGUUGCUAAGUUUAACAUUCACUGCGCAUAUAUACAACUUAGCAUAAUUAAUCAAAAAGUACUAGAAGUAGUUUAAAAGUUUUAAAAGACCCAAUUCACCCCCCCUCUUGGCUUGUAUCUACUGGGCAACA
This 812-nucleotide long non-coding RNA is filed under the name Phoenix dactylifera (date palm). RNAcentral's name for it is "long non-coding RNA (PDAC_LNC010891)". Lineage: Eukaryota; Viridiplantae; Streptophyta; Magnoliopsida; Arecales; Arecaceae. The record is from RNAcentral.